This 107-nucleotide non-coding RNA is filed under the name uncultured Flavonifractor sp. Its description in RNAcentral is "FMN riboswitch (RFN element)". It matches the Rfam family "FMN riboswitch aptamer (RFN element)". From Rfam's summary of the family: The RFN element is a highly conserved domain that is found frequently in the 5'-untranslated regions of prokaryotic mRNAs that encode for flavin mononucleotide (FMN) biosynthesis and transport proteins. Lineage: Bacteria; Bacillati; Bacillota; Clostridia; Eubacteriales; Oscillospiraceae. The record is from RNAcentral.
AUCUUCAGGGCGGGGUGCAAUUCCCCACCGGCGGUAUAGCCCGCGAGCCGAAAGGCAUGACCCGGUGUGACUCCGGGGCCGACAGUACAGUCUGGAUGGAAGAAGAU